RNAcentral lists this long non-coding RNA (2473 nucleotides) under Pelobates cultripes (western spadefoot toad). The record is from RNAcentral. Lineage: Eukaryota; Metazoa; Chordata; Amphibia; Anura; Pelobatidae.
CAGCUAUUUUAGUCUAUUUUGGCGUAUUAUUAACUACUUACAUUGACUGUGUUGCUGUUUCACUGAAAUUAUAAUGCAGUUAAAAGAUAUACUAAUAUUAAGAAAGUAGGGAUUACUGUCUUACGUAUAUUCCCUACACCUGACAAAACUUGACAAAAGGCAGAGCUACCACAUGCGUGAGAUUUCAGUGAAGCAGAUAAUGCACCAGGAGUCGAAGAGGACUGUCUGGAUUAUGAUGCAGCGGCUGUGAAGGACAAGUUCCAAUAAGUCAAACUCACCUUUCCCCGCACCCCACUGCAAAAAAUGAGGCCUAAAUUUGCAAAGACAACAGACAGUGACAGAGUCACUUUAGCGUAUUGCAAAGAUCUUAAGAAUCACUUUGAAUGCACAUGAGAUUUAAAAACCGUAGAAUAAAUCCUACUAAAUAAAGCAUGGUACUAUACAGUAGAUAUAGAGACAGCAUGGCGUUUAACCGCCUUAGUAAAAGGGGUUGGAUAAACUGUAUGAUAUCAUGAUAGCCCUGGAAGGCAUCCGUCAUGAAGGGUUUAAUUUAACCAAAGGGUUAACAUUUUAAAGAUCGCCAAAUCAUAGUACUAGUAUACUUUGUAUCUUAAACAAAAACAUCCCUAUACAUGUAUUUCUAUAAUUCUUUCUAUGUUAAAGCAAUACCCCAGGUACCAUAACCACUACAUCACACUCACUUGCCGAGAGUGAUUAGCACAGGAAGUGACUGGCAUCCAGUGAAGCCCAGGUAAAAAGUUAGUCCAUAACCAGUUUGACUAGUUACAAAGGGGGUGCCAGGGCAAUCCUGGCAUCCAAACCACUACAGCAUACUGUAGUGGGUAUGGUGCUUGGAUCGUUCCUCUAAGUAAAUAUUUUAUUACUCUGUUUAAUAAAUGGAAUAUGUAAUUAUUACUUUUAAAACACAAGUUAAGUACUAUCACUGCCUUGCUAAACAUUGUUUUUUUUAAUCAUUUUAAACAUCCCUAUUUUAAAGUGACUCGUGUUAAGUUUUAUUCAUAUUACACCACAAAGUGAAUUCUUAGGAACGCAAAGGGAAUUUUAAGUGAAUUUCACAUCUUAGGCAAACACUUAUAAACAUGACUUAAUUCUAGGCAAUAAUAAUCUGAACAUGCUCUCUGAUAAACAGAGAUGUGCGUAAUACAUUAGGCCUUCGUCUUAUUUAAUUUUGUUUUUCCUUUAUUAGUGUUUGCUUGACUUUACUUGUUUGGAGAAACACAAAAAAGUACAAUUAAUUCUGGACAUCUCUUAUGCAGAGGAGUGAUUUUUAUCAGCACAGAAUACAGUUAAUAGCGCCAUAACUAUUACAAUUUAUCUAAAAGUAGCUCUGAACAAUUUAACAAAAAAAAAUUCACCCAGAGCCACUUUACACUAAAGUACAGCAAUACGCUGUAGUAAUUAUGGUUCUUGGAAUGAACCUUUUACAUUCAGGAGAGAAUUCUUCUUCUCCCCAAGUAACAAGGGAGAGACUGAACUUUACUGCAUCAAAAAAAACCAAAAAACUAUAAUUUAAUUUAAUAUAUAAACUUUAACCAGAGUACGAAGGUAUAGGAAGUAAAAUGAUCAAAUCACGAACAUUUAGUUUACAGAAUUUUAUACCCACACAUUCUGUGCAAUUUAAACAAUUACAAAGACUUUUUGAUACUUGACACUGUGUUUUAUUCUCUUAUUGGAACUGGCAGUUGUAUUCUGUCAUAGGGAACACAGUGACUGGGAUUUAAUAGAACACUAUACCUUUUUGUCAUUUUUGCCAUAUUUUAUGUGAAAAAGAGAGAAAGAAUUAAGAAAAAGAAGAAGUGCUCUGAUACAAGACAACGCGUUUUGAAUAAUUUACUAAUGUAUGGAUUCCUGGGAAUUCAAAGUGAAUUUGAAGUUUUAGGCCAAAGUGGCCACAUAGCACGCACACGCACAGACAGACACACGUUAUAUACAUAGAGUCUUAAACUGGCACAAACUAUACGAUGUCAUAAUAGAUUUUCUAAUUUUAAUGUAUAUAUUUGUCAUCAUUUUAUUUUUUACAAAAGCACAUCAGUGAUGCAGCAGGUACAGUGGAGUUUAGAAGGUACACAUUUCAUUGUGACAUCAAGUAAUAUAUACAUAUAUAAUAGUGUUACAUAUCUGCCUCUUGCAUUAUUUUAAGCAAAAGGUUUUAUUGCGUAGUUACAAUUCUACAGGACAUUGUGUACUUUCACUGUGUUUUACAAUAAAAAGGUAAACAGCCAUACUGUACACUCUUUUAAUUUAAUGCAGUUGAUUUUCCUGUAGUUAUCUAAAUCAUUGCCGUUAGGAAUGAUUGUCGUGUAUGUACCAGGUGUAUUUUAUAAUAAAUACUAAUAUAUAUAUAUGUACACACACACACACUCUCACACACACACACACACACACACACACAUACAUAUAUAUACACAAAUUGGAGGGGAAAAAAAUCAUAUAAGAGAAAAAUAAAUCUGUU